RNAcentral lists this ribosomal RNA (496 nucleotides) under uncultured bacterium. Its description in RNAcentral is "partial 16S ribosomal RNA". It matches the Rfam family "Bacterial small subunit ribosomal RNA", at positions 28 to 506 of the family's 1533-position model. The record is from RNAcentral.
GAUGAACGCUGGCGGCGUGCCUAAUACAUGCAAGUCGAGCGAACGGACGAGAAGCUUGCUUCUCUGAUGUUAGCGGCGGACGGGUGAGUAACACGUGGAUAACCUACCUAUAAGACUGGGAUAACUUCGGGAAACCGUAGCUAAUACCGGAUAAUAUUUUGAACCGCAUGGUUCAAAAGUGAAAGACGGUCUUGCUGUCACUUAUAGAUGGAUCCGCGCUGCAUUAGCUAGUUGGUAAGGUAACGGCUUACCAAGGCAACGAUGCAUAGCCGACCUGAGAGGGUGAUCGGCCACACUGGAACUGAGACACGGUCCAGACUCCUACGGGAGGCAGCAGUAGGGAAUCUUCCGCAAUGGGCGAAAGCCUGACGGAGCAACGCCGCGGGAGUGAUGAAGGUCUUCGGAUCGUAAAACUCUGUUAUUAGGGAAGAACAUAUGUGUAAGUAACUGUGCACAUCUUGACGGUACCUAAUCAGAAAGCCACGGCUAACUACGU